This is a small nucleolar RNA of Ornithorhynchus anatinus (platypus), 138 nucleotides long. The record is from RefSeq and is a predicted model, not a curated record. Lineage: Eukaryota; Metazoa; Chordata; Mammalia; Monotremata; Ornithorhynchidae.
GCCGUCUCAGUGUCGCACCUGGAGAGUUUCCAGUGCUCUGCCAGUCUCGGCUAAGGGAGGGAGAGUCAGGCAGAGGUCUGUCCGUUCCACUCCUAGCUAGGCCAGUGGCUAGCGAGUGGAAGCCAAUCUGCUACGAGU